CGAAUCAGUCGCCUAUAUGGAGUGGUCAGGCUCACCUGCUUUUUGCCAGACUUUUCUGUCAGAAGAUCUUGCCAUAUAGGAUGGACCCAGUGGAUUAGGGAAGUAUCCAGUAUAUUGUGGAUGCCCUAGGAAAACAGGAAAUCCUCCUCAGACGUCAGCAAUCUGAGCUGGCUGCGAUCGGGGAAUCCUUGGAGUCCUUCCAUGCUGGUCUGACGGCGAUGGCUUCGCAAGUUCAAGAUCUGCUUUCGAGCCGCCCUGCUGCCUUUUCUUCUCAUCCAGUGCCUUUAGUCCUGGGGCAUCCAUGGUUCCUGAAGCACGAUCAGCAUAUCGACUAUGAGAAGGGACUGAUUGAUACCUGGGCUCCUUCUUGUACCUUACAGUGUCUGCAAACUGACUUUUGCCUGGGAACUCGCCGACUCCAAAACAGUUACCUGAUCCAAGGUGCUUGCAGAAUUUUUGGAUCUGGGGAAAGUGUUCAGGGUCUACGGAGAACACGAUGAAGAAUCGUUUUCCCCUACCUUUGUUGUCAUUGGUGCUCGACCAGUUACAGGAAGCUACAAUCUUCACCAAGCUGAAACACCUACCAUUUUGUCCGGAUCCAAGAAGGUGAUGAAUGGAAGACCGCCUUGAACACACCCACGGGACACUUUGAAUAUCUUGUGAUGUUCUACGAGACCUGCUCAAUAGGUCUGUUUGUUUACCUCGAUGACAUCUUCAUUUUCUCACAAAACAGGACCACAUACAACAUGUUCAUGAGAUACUCCAGAGACUCCUCUUGAAUAAGCUGUAUGUUAAAGCAGAAAAGUGUCUUCUCCACCGACGUACUCUCUCCUACUUGGGAUUCAUCCUUUCUGAGGGCCCAGUUCAAAUGGACUCAAAUGGAGUAGUACCCAGGUCACGGAAGGACCUUCAACACUUCUUGGAGUUUUCUAAUGACAUUUUAUACAGGGGUAUAGCAUGGUCGCUGCUCUCACUUCUUCCAAGGUCACCUUUAAAUGAAAUCCGGAGGCUCAAGAUGCAUCAGCGUCCAUUCAUGGUAUUCCUGUCAAUAACUCCUUUAAUAACUCCAUUGACAUAAUGUAAUUGAGAAGGAACAAUAAUAAAACUUACUGUAUGUACCA
Molecule: long non-coding RNA, 1121 nt
Organism: Paramormyrops kingsleyae
Lineage: Eukaryota; Metazoa; Chordata; Actinopteri; Osteoglossiformes; Mormyridae
Source: RefSeq, a predicted model, not a curated record